GUGGGGAAUAUUGGACAAUGGGCGCAAGCCUGAUCCAGCCAUGCCGCGUGAGUGAUGAAGGCCUUAGGGUUGUAAAGCUCUUUCGGCGGGGACGAUAAUGACGGUACCCGCAGAAGAAGCCCCGGCUAACUUCGUGCCAGCAGCCGCGGUAAUACGAAGGGGGCUAGCGUUGUUCGGAAUCACUGGGCGUAAAGCGCGCGUAGGCGGAUCGUUAAGUCGGGGGUGAAAUCCUGAGGCUCAACCUCAGAAUUGCCUUCGAUACUGGCGGUCUUUGAGUCCGGGAGAGGUGAGUGGAACUCCUAGUGUAGAGGUGAAAUUCGUAGAUAUUAGGAAGAACACCAGUGGCGAAGGCGGCUCACUGGCCCGGUACUGACGCUGAUGCGCGAAAGCGUGGGGAGCAAACAGGAUUAGAUACCCGUGUAGUCC
Molecule: ribosomal RNA, 426 nt
Filed under: uncultured bacterium
Lineage: Bacteria
Description: bacterial SSU rRNA
Rfam family: Bacterial small subunit ribosomal RNA
Source: RNAcentral